CAACACUUACCUUGCCCGGAUCUUUUGCUUUCUUUGGCGCUUCAUCUUUGUGGAUGUGGCAUGGUUCAUAGACAUGGAAAGUUCGGCUCUCAUCAUGAACUCGCAGUGUGAGCUCUCCUUUCUCCACAUCAAUCAAAGCUCUUCCCGUUGCCAGGAACGGGCGCCCCAAAAUCAGCGGAAUUUUGUUCUCAUCCUCAAUGUCUAGAACCACAAAAUCUGCAGGGAAAAUAAAAUCCCCCACCUUCACGAGUACGUUCUCCACAAUUCCACGAGGGUAGGUGACCGACCUGUCCGCCAUCUGCAGCCUCA
This 309-nucleotide long non-coding RNA is filed under the name Salvia miltiorrhiza (redroot sage). RNAcentral's name for it is "long non-coding RNA (SMIL_LNC009725)". The record is from RNAcentral. Lineage: Eukaryota; Viridiplantae; Streptophyta; Magnoliopsida; Lamiales; Lamiaceae.